Molecule: ribosomal RNA, 510 nt
Filed under: uncultured bacterium
Lineage: Bacteria
Description: partial 16S ribosomal RNA
Rfam family: Bacterial small subunit ribosomal RNA
Source: RNAcentral
GACGAACGCUGGCGGCGUGCUUAACACAUGCAAGUCGAACGAAGAGCGAUGGAAGCUUGCUUCUAUCAAUCUUAGUGGCGAACGGGUGAGUAACGCGUAAUCAACCUGCCCUUCAGAGGGGGACAACAGUUGGAAACGACUGCUAAUACCGCAUACGAUCUAAUCUCGGCAUCGAGGAUAGAUGAAAGGUGGCCUCUACAUGUAAGCUAUCACUGAAGGAGGGGAUUGCGUCUGAUUAGCUAGUUGGAGGGGUAACGGCCCACCAAGGCGAUGAUCAGUAGCAGGUCUGAGAGGAUGAACGGCCACAUUGGGAAUGAGACACGGCCCAGACUCCUACGGGAGGCAGCAGUGGGGAAACUUCCGCAAUGGACGAAAGUCUGACGGAGCAAAGCCGCGUGAGCGAUGACGGCCUUCGGGUUGUAAAGCUCUGUUAAUCGGGACGAAAGGCCUUCUUGCGAAUAGUGAGAAGGAUUGACGGUACCGGAAUAGAAAGCCACGGCUAACUACGUG